UGGGGAAUUUUCCGCAAUGGGCGAAAGCCUGACGGAGCAGUACCGCGUGAGGGAAGACUGCCUAUGGGUUGUAAACCUCUUUUUUCAGGGAGGAAUAAAAUGACGUGUACCUGAAGAAUAAGCAUCGGCUAACUCCGUGCCAGCAGCCGCGGUAAGACGGAGGAUGCAAGUGUUAUCCGGAAUCACUGGGCGUAAAGCGUCUGUAGGUGGUUUAAUAAGUCAACUGUUAAAUCUUGAGGCUCAACUUCAAAAUCGCAGUCGAAACUAUUAGACUAGAGUAUAGUAGGGGUAAAGGGAAUUUCCAGUGGAGCGGUGAAAUGCGUAGAUAUUGGAAAGAACACCGAUGGCGAAAGCACUUUACUGGGCUAUUACUAACACUCAGAGACGAAAGCUAGGGUAGCAAAUGGGAUUAGAUACCCCAGUAGUCCUAGCCGUAAACUAUGGAUACUAGAUGUUGAACAGAUCGACCUGUGCAGUAUCAAAGCUAACGCGUUAAGUAUCCCGCCUGGGAAGUAUGCUCGCAAGAGUG
Molecule: ribosomal RNA, 529 nt
Filed under: uncultured bacterium
Lineage: Bacteria
Description: bacterial SSU rRNA
Rfam family: Bacterial small subunit ribosomal RNA
Source: RNAcentral